RNAcentral lists this long non-coding RNA (272 nucleotides) under Elaeis guineensis (African oil palm). Its description in RNAcentral is "long non-coding RNA (EGUI_LNC038562)". The record is from RNAcentral. Lineage: Eukaryota; Viridiplantae; Streptophyta; Magnoliopsida; Arecales; Arecaceae.
AUACUUUUUGGUGCAUCACUUGCACCAACCUUUACAAAUGCAAGAUAAACCUUGCAAUUCUUUUUCCAAUAUCUUGCCUUGUCGCAGUGAAAGCAGGUACCUUAUCCAGAGGCUUUCUUCUCCUUCUUCUUUAUCUUGCCAUCUUUAGGGUUCAAUGCUUUCUUUGAACCCUUCAUAUUUGAUUUCUUCUUAAAGAUCUUAUCCAUAAGAAGAACUGGAGUCUUAUUUCUUUUAAUAUAGCCCUCAGCUAUUUAAAGCAUAUUUAACAGCUC